UUAGUGCAUAUCAAGUGGUAAUCAGAGCAUAUUCCAAAAAAAAAGGGCCGAAAUAUGGUAAAUUGUCUAUAUUCUUGUUCUUCAUUAUUAUCCAUUUAUCAUUAUAAAAAAAAUUGAAAAAAAAAAGGGUAUAAGAAAAAAAUUGAAAAAAAAGGGAUCUGAUUGUUAAAGAUUGUGAUUAAAAAAAAAUCUUUUUUUUUUCUUGCCACACUCUUAAAGUUCUUCUGGUUUCCUUUAUUUUAGAGUCUUUUUUUUUGUUUGCUGUUUU
This 268-nucleotide long non-coding RNA is filed under the name Lathyrus oleraceus (garden pea). Its description in RNAcentral is "Pisum sativum (pea) long non-coding RNA (PSAT_LNC012343)". The record is from RNAcentral. Lineage: Eukaryota; Viridiplantae; Streptophyta; Magnoliopsida; Fabales; Fabaceae.